This 223-nucleotide unclassified non-coding RNA is filed under the name Calocera sp. OTU_039. Its description in RNAcentral is "sequence contains ITS1, 5.8S rRNA gene and ITS2". The stretch from base 69 to 210 matches the Rfam family "5.8S ribosomal RNA". Rfam says of the family: 5.8S ribosomal RNA (5.8S rRNA) is a component of the large subunit of the eukaryotic ribosome. It is transcribed by RNA polymerase I as part of the 45S precursor that also contains 18S and 28S rRNA. Functionally, it is thought that 5.8S rRNA may be involved in ribosome translocation. The record is from RNAcentral. Lineage: Eukaryota; Fungi; Basidiomycota; Dacrymycetes; Dacrymycetales; Dacrymycetaceae.
UGUGAUCGUAGCUUCGGCUUACACAAACACUAUUGUCGUCGUGAAUGUCUAGUUAUCAUAACAAACAUAACUUUCAACAACGGAUCUCUUGGCUCUCGCAUCGAUGAAGAACGCAGCGAAAUGCGAUAAGUAAUGUGAAUUGCAGAAUAGUGAAUCAUCGAAUCUUUGAACGCACCUUGCGCCCUAUGGGGCAUGCUGGUUUGAGCGCCUUAUAAUCGUGUUC